Solanum pennellii is the source of this 4525-nucleotide long non-coding RNA. RefSeq lists it as uncharacterized. The transcript is spliced from 7 exons. NCBI's taxonomy places the organism in Eukaryota, Viridiplantae, Streptophyta, Magnoliopsida, Solanales, Solanaceae. The record is from RefSeq and is a predicted model, not a curated record.
AAUGGGCACUAUUAGGAUAAAAAUUAACAAAAAGUAAUUUAUUUUGUAUUAACCAUCUUUUUUUUAUAAAAAAAAAAAUGCGUGUAUUAACAAAAGUUUUCGUUUUGGAAACUAUAAAAGUAGCGUAUUUUAGACGUCACCACCGCCUUUCUUCCCCUGAUUUCAAAUUAAAGAACCGGAGCUUCAUCCGCUACCAGCGCAUCAUAGAGUAGUCCACCGAAUUGCUGCUCUUAACUGUCCAUUGACAAUUUGACGUUGUUCGAUCAAAGCCCUAAACCAAUCUAUCUGCUAAGGAGACGGGAAGCGUUAAGUAUUUUGGUCAGAGGUUAUCUUGUAUGAUUUCACAAGGGUUGUUGAGGAAUUGGUUUUGAACAGCCUUGAUGCUGGUGCCGUUCCAAAGUUUUAAUAUUCCUUGUUGAAUGGAAAGAUGUGAAGUUGUUCUUGAAGGCCCCACUCGAACAACUCUAAAAGACACUCAAUUGGACAGAUUUUCGUCAACGCCCUCAGUGGCCAUUUUCCUUUACACGGUCUAGACUUUUUGACUUUGAUUGUUUCUUAAAAAAGGGAAAUUAUGCGAUGUAAGAAAAUGGGGAAUGAUAUGGUUCAUAUUCUCUGAUUUUGUAAAUGUUUGGAGGAUUAGUAGAGGUGGGCUGCGGGGAACAUCAUAGUUAAGUGACUAACGAUGGCAACUCGUGCUUUCAUGUAGUUUUAAUUGUUUAGACUUAUCGCACCAGUGAAUCUGUGUGUUGCUUGCACAAAAGGCAUUGAUCGGUGAGGCUCUUCAAUUAUUUCUUAUGUUCCUUUGGUUACCAAUACUUCCUUAUAAGACUGUUCUUGUUCUUUUGUGUUUGUUGUUCUCAUUGGGACCUGCUAUGUUAAGGUGGAUGACAAUGAAAGCUCUGCUCAGUUUGUGCUUCAUCACCUGAAGUUGUACUUUCUUUUGAUGGUGUCUCACGAGAUGGACGGGUGCUUAUGAGAGAAAGAUAUGGUGAUAUUUUUGCAAAAUGCUGUACUAACGUCAUCUUUUCUAUUGUAUUGCUGCUGCUGUUUUGCAUGACAACUAUGAUGUUGAUAGAUUGGAAUGGUUGUUGUUGUUUAUACAAUUGCAUGCAUUGCUCAACUGAUAGGCUCUUUGACAGUUUGUGUUCAUUAAUAUCUUUUUAUAGAUGUUCUUUUACUUAUUAUUUUGUGAUUUUACUUGUAAUUGGGAGGACUGGUAUGGCUGCACAAAACAUUGAUUUUUUAGAUUUAGAUUUUGGUUUUAUUGCAAGAUGUUCACGUACAUCGCAUUCCCGGUUCUUCAUUUGCUAUAAUAUAUUUUCUCUACCUGUGCCGCGUCCCCAAAAAGGGGAGGGCUGGAAGUGUGUAUAUAUACACACACACAGAGAGUGAGAUAUGAAAUAUAUUUUUUGUUGCUCACUACUGUAUCUAGAGAUGUUUUAAUUACUUAUUCCAGCUGAAGUUGAGUUGGAACAUACAUAUUGGUGAUUAGGUACUUUUAGCCCAGCUUAUAGAGACAGUAUAUGUGCCUGAUUCUUCAUCUUCUGUUGUGUUUCCUUUUUGUCUGGCCAUUUGAACCAUGGUUUUGAAUGCUUGCUUUACACCAGCGACAUCGAAAUACAACAUUUCAGAUGAUAUGCAUCCCUUCCCCCGCAAGCUUUGGCUGAAAAGUAGAGGCUCCGAACUCUUAGAUUUCGGAUGCUUUUUGUUGGAAAUUGGUACUAAAAUCACGGGAGGCCAGAUGGAUAUUGUAAGGUUUUAAAGGUACAGUUUUUGAGUUUUAGUUGGUAGUAUCCAUUAGGAUAGGUAUAAAACUACUAACUUUGUCUUUGUUCUUGCCAUUGUUGACAAGACGGCAAGUGUUUGUACCUUGGAUUCAAUGAUUGUAGACAAAAUAAUUGUACAACAGGUAAUCUGUAUAUAAGACUACCUGAUACAUGUGUUGAGUGUUGACUACUGUUUGCUCAUAAGUAAAUUUUUUGGGAUUUUUCUCUUUGUAGUCAUUGUUCGUGAUGCUAUUACAACCAACUAGUUCGACGGUUUGCAUAUAUAAUUUGAAGGCCAAUGAGGGUCUUGCAUUCUCUGAAGAGUCUCUGUUAAUUAAGAAUCGCCCUUGUGCAUCCGAGUGUCUCCUUCAAAAUUGUUGAUAUGGAAAGCGAGGAGGACCUGCUUUGCACACUUGCUUCUCCUUCUCCUUGGAGCUACCCUUGUCUUGGUGAGGUCCAAGGCAACCCGGUAAGGCAUCUUUGCAACCGAAAUCUGCAGCCAUGGCGGUUGCUUUGUCUCCUUUUGUCUGGUUUUUAUAACAAAUUUGAGCCUCAGGAGAAAUGAUUGGCUAAAAGACGCUUGAAGUUUUGUGAAUUUUCUUUGUUAGGUUAGCCUUAAAAAGGCAAGAAUGAGGCAGCAGAAAGUAUGGGAUUUCUAUCAAGAGUGGUUGUCUUUCUCUCUAUGCUUUGCCUAUGAUUCUCCAUUUAUUAGAACAAACCAACAACCCUUAAAAAAGAAAGAGACAGAGAGAGUACACUUGAGUUUCUGGGUUUCUUUGAUUUUUUUCCACCCUUAGACGUAUGCUCAAUACACACAACUACACUACAACAACAUGACUAUAAAAAUUAUUAAAGAAGCAGUCAUGAUUUCUGGGCUAACUAAAUUCGGGCAUUGAGAUUACCCAACCUUUAUCUUGGGGGGGCAACCCGGUAUGUCCUGUAAUUGAGAUGCAUAACUCACACAUGCAACCGAGUGUUGCAGCUAUGGCGUGGUUGGCCUUUCUUUCGCCUUAUCAUUACACAAAUCUGAGCCUCAAUUUGCUGAAGAAAAAAGGGAAAAGGGUCAAAUUUAACCUUUUACUAUGCAUAAGGGGCAAUAACUUUUUCAUGAUUAAUGGGGGGAGAUAUUGAACCUACGCCCUUCUGAUUUGCAGUUUUAAUGUUUUUCAUUCGCGAUGUAUCUCCAUCUUUUGAUAAGUAACAAGCUCUGUUUUUUUUUUUAAUAAGUCCCACAAGGGGAGUGUAUUUGAUAAUUCAAACGGAGAUCGAGAGGGGCGCUGGAGCCUAACCUCUGCAUACAAAUAACUUGCAAAUACAAUUUGACCUAAGCAAUAUACAAGAUGGAGAUGAAGAAACUCCUGAGCAAGAGCUCACAAAAGUACCAAGUGUAAAGACACUUAGUAAAUCCAAAAGAGAUAAUCAGCUCAAGAAUGAGGCAUUUUAAUGAAAUGUUGGAUUUGUGAGGGAUGGUUGCCUCCCUUAUCUGGUAAGCCCUGAUAAUUUUUGAAGUUCUGCACUUAUGUUGAGGAGUUGGUUUUCAACAUCCUAGAUGCUGGUGCCACCAAGGUACUCAUUUACCCUUUCAAAGUUUUAUUAUUCUUUAUCAUUUUACUAGGUAUUGAAUGGAAAGAUGAUGAGUUGUUCUUGAAGGCUCCACUCGUACAACUGUAAAAAAUUAAGUAGUUUAAUCAUAAGAAGUUGUGAUUUGUAAUAUUUUAAAUGAAGACACUCAAUCGGACCGACUUUCAUAAAAGCCCUGGGUGGCCAUUUUCCUUCACAUGGUCUAGACUUUCUGAUUUUGAUUGUUUCUUAAAAGUUGAAAUUGUACCAUGUAAGAGAAUGGGUAAUAUAUGUUCUGAUUUUAUUAAUGUUUUGAGGGUAAAUAGAGGUGGGUUGCUGAGAAUAUGGCAAGUGGGCGGUGAGGCUCUUGAAUGAAUUCUUACGUUCCUUCAUUUCCUACUUCUAAUGAUGAGGACAUAUGCUUAAUAUGAAAUUGAUAUACCUUUUCUCCUCUUAGUAUGAUGUUUAAUUCAAGUAUCAUAAUUUUUUUCCCCAAAUGAACAUUCUUUUAGCAAUACUCUAUUUCUUUUUUCCAUGAGAUUUACUUCCUUAUAGGUCUGUUCUUUUUGUUGUUUUAUGUUUGUUAUUCUUAUAAGUAGUGCACUCCUAGUUUGAACUUAACCUAGUUUCACCAAGUAUCUGUUGCUAUAGGCAUUGGGACCUGCUAUGUUAAGGUGGAUGACGAUGGAUCUGGCUUUUCACGAGAUGGACGGUGCUGAUGGGAGAAAGACAUGGAUUGCAUGCAGUGGGGAUGACUUGCUUUGCACAAGUGCGUCUCCUUCUCCCUGCCGCUGUUGUCCAGUGGAUUUGGGAUUCCUCUGAGUUCCCUUAAACAAAUUGAAUGCAAGCAUUAUGGGAGAACAAUGCUAAACCACAUUUCUAGCUUCUUUUGGUUGCAAAGCCAGACAUGCCAAUGUUAACAAGGACAUGUCAUACAUAUUUGUUUUACUGAUUGGACCAACUUAUAAUCUAACAAAACUUUGUGAAGCAACCUUCGAACUUGGUCUCUUGUUGAGUAUUUGCAUAAAAGUUCUCCUCUAAUCUUGGUGAUUCACCGGCUUGUCUGAGGACAAAAGGUAAGGUGCUCCUAAUUUGUUGGAUUGUAAGACCUUAACUUUUGAAGCAAACUCUUCCAAAGAGAUGUACGAGUUGAUCAAUCCUACAAAAUUGAACCUGUAAGGGCUAUUGGUCUUCUGAAA